RNAcentral lists this ribosomal RNA (320 nucleotides) under uncultured Pseudomonas sp. RNAcentral's name for it is "bacterial SSU rRNA". It matches the Rfam family "Bacterial small subunit ribosomal RNA", at positions 1064 to 1382 of the family's 1533-position model. The record is from RNAcentral. Lineage: Bacteria; Pseudomonadati; Pseudomonadota; Gammaproteobacteria; Pseudomonadales; Pseudomonadaceae.
GUCGUGAGAUGUUGGGUUAAGUCCCGUAACGAGCGCAACCCUUGUCCUUAGUUACCAGCACGUUAUGGUGGGCACUCUAAGGAGACUGCCGGUGACAAACCGGAGGAAGGUGGGGAUGACGUCAAGUCAUCAUGGCCCUUACGGCCUGGGCUACACACGUGCUACAAUGGUCGGUACAAAGGGUUGCCAAGCCGCGAGGUGGAGCUAAUCCCAUAAAACCGAUCGUAGUCCGGAUCGCAGUCUGCAACUCGACUGCGUGAAGUCGGAAUCGCUAGUAAUCGUGAAAUCAGAAUGUCACGGUGAAUACGUUCCCGGGCCUU